This 117-nucleotide ribosomal RNA is filed under the name Oscillospiraceae bacterium. Lineage: Bacteria; Bacillati; Bacillota; Clostridia; Eubacteriales; Oscillospiraceae. The record is from RNAcentral.
GUCAGUCAUCUUAACGGUGAGGGUCCACCCGUUCCCAUUCCGAACACGAUAGUUAAGCUCACUCGUGCCCACAAUACUUGGCUGGAGACGGCCCGGGAAGAUAGGUAAUGGCUGACA